UUGGAAAUGCUGGAUUUGGGGUUAUUCAAAUUUGUUACAGGAAAUGGAUCACUUGUGAUUUAUGAAAGAAAACAAUUUUUAAUUAAAGUAUAUUUGCAUGAUAGGUGAGUACAGACCAUGAAUGUAUGGGCAUCAUUUGCCAUCAAGCCUAACAAAAGAUGAUGCUAUAUGUUAUAUUAUUGUUUCCUUUGAAGUCAUAUCCAUCCUACUUUUUUUUACC
This 220-nucleotide long non-coding RNA is filed under the name Bos taurus (domestic cattle). RNAcentral's name for it is "long non-coding RNA NONBTAT017843". Lineage: Eukaryota; Metazoa; Chordata; Mammalia; Artiodactyla; Bovidae. The record is from RNAcentral.